GCUAAUACCGCAUAACGUAUCUGUAUGGCAUCGUAUGGAUACCAAAGAUUUAUUGCCGAAAGACGGGCUCGCGUCUGAUUAGCUGGUUGGUGGGGUAACGGCCUACCAAGGCGACGAUCAGUAGCCGGACUGAGAGGUUGACCGGCCACAUUGGGACUGAGAUACGGCCCAGACUCCUACGGGAGGCAGCAGUAGGGAAUAUUGGGCAAUGGGCGAAAGCCUGACCCAGCAACGCCGCGUGAAGGAAGAAGGCAUUCGUGUUGUAAACUUCUUUGACCAGGGACGAAGAGAGUGACGGUACCUGGAAAACAAGCCACGGCUAACUACGUGCCAGCAGCCGCGGUAAUACGUAGGUGGCAAGCGUUGUCCGGAUUUACUGGGUGUAAAGGGCGCGUAGGCGGGAUUGCAAGUCUGAUGUGAAAUGUAGGGGCUUAACCCCUGAACUGCAUUGGAAACUGUGAUUCUUGAGUGAUGGAGAGGCAGGCGGAAUUCCUUGUGUAGCGGUGAAAUGCGUAGAUAU
This 520-nucleotide ribosomal RNA is filed under the name uncultured bacterium. RNAcentral's name for it is "bacterial SSU rRNA". It matches the Rfam family "Bacterial small subunit ribosomal RNA", at positions 162 to 697 of the family's 1533-position model. The record is from RNAcentral.